This 254-nucleotide ribosomal RNA is filed under the name uncultured bacterium. RNAcentral's name for it is "partial 16S ribosomal RNA". It matches the Rfam family "Bacterial small subunit ribosomal RNA", at positions 524 to 776 of the family's 1533-position model. The record is from RNAcentral.
UACGUAGGGGGCGAGCGUUGUCCGGAUUUAUUGGGCGUAAAGAGCUCGUAGGCGGUUCGGUAAGUCGGAUGUGAAAUCUCCACGCUCAACGUGGAGGGGCCAUUCGAUACUGCCGUGACUCGAGUCCGGUAGGGGAGUGUGGAAUUCCCGGUGUAGCGGUGAAAUGCGCAGAGAUCGGGAGGAACACCCGUAGCGAAGGCGGCACUCUGGGCCGGUACUGACGCUGAGGUGCGAAAGCGUGGGGAGCAAACAGG